CGGACAAGAAGGUGCCGACCCUUGCCACACAGGUCAAUGCUUUCACGAGACUACUCAAUGCUGGGGUCAUCUCAAAACAACAGCUUCAGAGCUCGGUCGCUCUCGUCUCCAUCUCCGAUCGAUAGUUAUAUUGGGAAUGUGACGACCGAGAUUGCGAAGAACGUGGGGAGGCUACAGAGGCUAGGUGUGAGAAAGGUACUAGUGAACAACAUGCAUCCCAUUGGCUGCACGCCUUUGCGGACUAGUUCGAGCAACUACACGACAUGCGACCUUCUGGCCAACUAUGCCGCAACUGUGCACAACAUCAAUAUAGAACACCUAAUGGGCAACAAGAAUAAUGCCCACAUACUGGACCUCUACACUGCCUUCACCGACAUCGUCAAUCACGCCCCUGGUGAAGGGUCGGAGCAGUCAAACAAUUUCAAGCGCAAGCUGGCACCUUGCUGCGAGGCUUCCACUGAGCUGGGGUACUGUGGACAGGUUAGCCCUUCAGGGGAGCGCCUCUACGACCUAUGCAAGAACCCUGACAAGAAUUUCUACUGGGACGAGACUUACCCGACGACCGCUGGGUGGGAAGCUGUUACAGAGGCGCUAGAAGAACCUUUGAGGGAGUUCCUAGAUCGGGACUAUGUUCCAUGA
This 639-nucleotide ribosomal RNA is filed under the name Triticum aestivum (bread wheat). RNAcentral's name for it is "partial small subunit ribosomal RNA". The record is from RNAcentral. Lineage: Eukaryota; Viridiplantae; Streptophyta; Magnoliopsida; Poales; Poaceae.